RNAcentral lists this ribosomal RNA (799 nucleotides) under Micromonospora aurantiaca (nom. illeg.). RNAcentral describes it as "bacterial SSU rRNA". It matches the Rfam family "Bacterial small subunit ribosomal RNA", at positions 56 to 872 of the family's 1533-position model. The record is from RNAcentral. Lineage: Bacteria; Bacillati; Actinomycetota; Actinomycetes; Micromonosporales; Micromonosporaceae.
UGCAAGUCGAGCGGAAGGCCCUUCGGGGUACUCGAGCGGCGAACGGGUGAGUAACACGUGAGCAACCUGCCCCAGGCUUUGGGAUAACCCCGGGAAACCGGGGCUAAUACCGAAUAUGACCUCUGACCGCAUGGUUGGUGGUGGAAAGUUUUUCGGCUUGGGAUGGGCUCGCGGCCUAUCAGCUUGUUGGUGGGGUGAUGGCCUACCAAGGCGACGACGGGUAGCCGGCCUGAGAGGGCGACCGGCCACACUGGGACUGAGACACGGCCCAGACUCCUACGGGAGGCAGCAGUGGGGAAUAUUGCACAAUGGGCGGAAGCCUGAUGCAGCGACGCCGCGUGAGGGAUGACGGCCUUCGGGUUGUAAACCUCUUUCAGCAGGGACGAAGCGUAAGUGACGGUACCUGCAGAAGAAGCGCCGGCCAACUACGUGCCAGCAGCCGCGGUAAGACGUAGGGCGCGAGCGUUGUCCGGAUUUAUUGGGCGUAAAGAGCUCGUAGGCGGCUUGUCGCGUCGACCGUGAAAACUUGGGGCUCAACCCCAAGCCUGCGGUCGAUACGGGCAGGCUAGAGUUCGGUAGGGGAGACUGGAAUUCCUGGUGUAGCGGUGAAAUGCGCAGAUAUCAGGAGGAACACCGGUGGCGAAGGCGGGUCUCUGGGCCGAUACUGACGCUGAGGAGCGAAAGCGUGGGGAGCGAACAGGAUUAGAUACCCUGGUAGUCCACGCUGUAAACGUUGGGCGCUAGGUGUGGGGGGCCUCUCCGGUUCCCUGUGCCGCACUAACGCAUUUAAGCGCCCCGC